Molecule: long non-coding RNA, 1272 nt
Organism: Tachysurus vachellii
Lineage: Eukaryota; Metazoa; Chordata; Actinopteri; Siluriformes; Bagridae
Exons: 3
Source: RefSeq, a predicted model, not a curated record
UCUUUUGUGGCCAUACCAUUCACACAUUUCAUGUCGUUUUCACACAAUAUGCAAUCAGUGAACACAUUUCCACAAUGCUUACAUUUUCUUAACAGACAAGCUAUACCUCCCAACAAAAUUAUGGAUUGUUUUUGUAGUAUUCACGAAUGUUAACACACAACAUCCCACAAUAGCAAAAACAAUAUUCCAAACCUUAGAUACAGUAUAAAAACCUCUGCUUCUGCAAUGAUAUCAGUUCAAAAACAAUAUAUCUCAGCUGAUAAUAAACAAACAAUUGAAUAAUUGACACACAGCUGAUUUAUGUUGGGUGAAUUGGGCCAACCACAGCUGAUUCCAGUCUGGCUUAGACUCAGUGGAAGGGGUUAUUUUUUUCUAUUACUAUAAAAUGAGGACUUUGAGGAGUGAUGUUUUUGGAAACAGAAACAGAAAAAGACAAACACUGUAAUGUUUGGACGUGGAAGAGGAAGAGCAAGGGGCCCAGGGAGAAGACCAGCUCCAGUGAGAGAUGCAGGGCCAGGGAGAGGUGCAGUGAGAGGUGCAGUAGGAGGUGCAGGUGCAGGAAGAGGAGCAGGCCCAAGGAGAGGGCAAGGUAGAGGUGUAAGAAUGUGUGGUGGUGGCAUUGCAAGGGCUGCAAGAACAGUAGUCAGUGAUGAAAUUCGUGCCACUAUCAUUGACUAUGUAAUCAACCACACUAAGAGAGGCUGGUGAAAGAGUGCAACCCAAUUUGAGGCGGUCAACGGUUGCCUCCAUUAUUCGCAUCUUUCAACAAACCAACAGGUAAGUAUUGCAUUUUAUAUGGAUUGUUUCUAUUCUCACUUGACAUGUCAAUAAGGUCAUACAGUAAUGCAUAUGUUGAUUUUUUUCCCCUCUAAAGAAUGCAACGUCUUCCACCCUCUGGGGGAAGAGGAAAGCUCCUCAAUAAUGAUCAAGAGCUUGCAAUUGUAGAAAUGGUUGUUGCAAAUAAUGCAAUAAAACUGCAUGAAAUUAAAACUAGAAUUGUGGAGGACCAUGAGAUAUUUGGCAAUAUAGAAAGCAUCAGCCUCACAACCAUUACACGGACAUUGUCCAAACACAGAGUGCGGAUGAAGCAGCUCUACACUGUUCCCUUUGAGAGGAACAGUGAGAGAGUCAAGGAGCUACGACGACAAUAUUUCCAGAGAGUUAUGGAAUUGAAGGCCAACCAGGCCCCUCAUGAAUUCAUUUACAUAGAUGAGGCAGGAUUCAAUCUAUCCAAAAGGCGUCGACGUGGACAAAAUAUAAUUGGAAAAAGGG